GACGAACGCUGGCGGCGUGCUUAACACAUGCAAGUCGAACGGAAAGGCCCUGCUUUUGUGGGGUGCUCGAGUGGCGAACGGGUGAGUAACACGUGAGUAACCUGCCCUUGACUUUGGGAUAACUUCAGGAAACUGGGGCUAAUACCGGAUAGGAGCUCCUGCUGCAUGGUGGGGGUUGGAAAGUUUCGGCGGUUGGGGAUGGACUCGCGGCUUAUCAGCGUGUUGGUGGGGUAGUGGCUUACCAAGGCUUUGACGGGUAGCCGGCCUGAGAGGGUGACCGGCCACAUUAGGACUGAGAUACGGCCCAGACUCCUACGGGAGGCAGCAGUGGGGAAUAUUGCACAGUGGGCGGAAGCGUGAUACAGCAGCGCAGCGUGCGGGAUGACGGCCUUCGGGUUGUAAACCGCUUUCGCCUGUGACGAAGCGUGAGUGACGGUAAUGGGUAAAGAAGCACCGGCUAACUACGUG
RNAcentral lists this ribosomal RNA (468 nucleotides) under uncultured bacterium. RNAcentral describes it as "partial 16S ribosomal RNA". It matches the Rfam family "Bacterial small subunit ribosomal RNA", at positions 28 to 507 of the family's 1533-position model. The record is from RNAcentral.